This 443-nucleotide ribosomal RNA is filed under the name uncultured bacterium. RNAcentral describes it as "partial 16S ribosomal RNA". It matches the Rfam family "Bacterial small subunit ribosomal RNA", at positions 338 to 795 of the family's 1533-position model. The record is from RNAcentral.
CCUACGGGAGGCAGCAGUGGGGAAUAUUGGGCAAUGGACGCAAGCCUGACCCAGCAACGCCGCGUGAAGGAAGAAUGCUCUCGGGUUGUAAACUUCUUUUCUCAGGGACGAAGCAAGUGACGGUACCUGCGGUAUAAGCCACGGCUAACUACGUGCCAGCCGCCGCGGUAAUACGGAGGUGGCGAGCGUUAUCCGGAUUUAAUGGUUGUAAAGGGAGUGUAGGUGGGGAUGCAAGUCAGAUGUGAAAACCACGGGCUUAACCUGUUGCUUGCAUUUGAAACUGGGUGUCUUGAGUACUGGAGAGGCAGACGGAAUUCGUAGUGUAGCGGUGAAAUGCUUAGAUAUCAGGAGGAACACCGAUGGCGAAGGCAGUCUACUGGACUGUGACUGACACUGAGGCGCGAAAGCGUGGGGAGCAAACAGGAUUAGAUACCCGAGUAGUC